RNAcentral lists this ribosomal RNA (253 nucleotides) under uncultured bacterium. RNAcentral's name for it is "partial 16S ribosomal RNA". It matches the Rfam family "Bacterial small subunit ribosomal RNA", at positions 524 to 776 of the family's 1533-position model. The record is from RNAcentral.
UACGUAGGUGGCGAGCGUUGUCCGGAAUCAUUGGGCGUAAAGAGCGUGUAGGCGGCUCGGUAAGUCCGCUGUGAAAGUCCAGGGCUCAACCCUGGAAUGCCGGUGGAAACUGUCGAGCUAGAGUCCGGAAGAGGCGAGUGGAAUUCCUGGUGUAGCGGUGAAAUGCGCAGAUAUCAGGAGGAACACCAAUGGCGAAGGCAGCUCGCUGGGACGGUACUGACGCUGAGACGCGAAAGCGUGGGGAGCAAACAGG